AUACGAAAGGUGCAAGCGUUGUUCGGAUUUACUGGGCGUAAAGAGAGUGUAGGUGGUUUAUUAAGUCGGAUGUGAAAUCCCGGGGCUCAACCUCGGAACUGCAUUCGAUACUGAUAGGCUAGAGUUUGGGAGGGGUAAGCGGAAUUCCGUGUGUAGCAGUGAAAUGCGUAGAUAUACGGAGGAACACCUGAGGCGAAGGCGGCUUACUGGACCGAUACUGACACUGAGACUCGAAAGCGUGGGUAGCAAACAGGAUUAGAAACCCGAGUAGUCC
This 274-nucleotide ribosomal RNA is filed under the name uncultured bacterium. RNAcentral describes it as "partial 16S ribosomal RNA". It matches the Rfam family "Bacterial small subunit ribosomal RNA", at positions 523 to 796 of the family's 1533-position model. The record is from RNAcentral.